CAGCCGCCGCGGUAAUACGAAGGGGGCUAGCGUUGUUCGGAUUAACUGGGCGUAAAGGGCGCGUAGGCGGGUUUUUAAGUCAGAGGUGAAAUCCCAAGGCUCAACCUUGGAACUGCCUUUGAUACUGGAAGUCUUGAGUCCAGGAGAGGUGAGUGGAACUGCGAGUGUAGAGGUGAAAUUCGUAGAUAUUCGCAAGAACACCAGUGGCGAAGGCGGCUCACUGGCCCGGUACUGACGCUGAGGCGCGAAAGCGUGGGGAGCAAACAGGAUUAGAUACCCCCGUAGUCCCUGUCUCUUAUAC
RNAcentral lists this ribosomal RNA (301 nucleotides) under uncultured bacterium. RNAcentral describes it as "partial 16S ribosomal RNA". It matches the Rfam family "Bacterial small subunit ribosomal RNA", at positions 509 to 807 of the family's 1533-position model. The record is from RNAcentral.